AGCGGCGAACGGGUGAGUAACACGUGGGUGACCUGCCCUCCACUCCGGGAUAAGCCUGGGAAACCGGGUCUAAUACCGGAUAGGACCUCUGGGUGCAUGCCUGGUGGUGGAAAGUUUUUUCGGUGGGGGAUGGGCCCGCGGUCUAUCAGCUUGUUGGUGGGGUGAUGGCCUACCAAGGCGACGACGGAUAGCCGGCCUGAGAGGGUGAUCGGCCACACUGGGACUGAGACACGGCCCAGACUCCUACGGGAGGCAGCAGUGGGGAAUCUUGCGCAAUGGGCGGAAGCCUGACGCAGCAACGCCGCGUGAGGGAUGACGGCCUUCGGGUUGUAAACCUCUUUCGCGAUCGACGAAGGUCCGGUUUUUGCCGGGCUGACGGUAGGUCGAGAAGAAGCACCGGCCAACUACGUGCCAGCAGCCGCGGUAAUACGUAGGGUGCGAGCGUUGUCCGGAAUUAUUGGGCGUAAAGAGCUCGUAGGCGGUGUGUCGCGUCGGCCGUGAAAACCUGGGGCUCAACUCUGGGCGUGCGGUCGAUACGGGCAUCACUUGAGUUCGGCAGGGGAGACUGGAAUUCCUGGUGUAGCGGUGAAAUGCGCAGAUAUCAGGAGGAACACCGGUGGCGAAGGCGGGUCUCUGGGCC
Molecule: ribosomal RNA, 640 nt
Filed under: Actinomycetospora sp. I12A-02625
Lineage: Bacteria; Bacillati; Actinomycetota; Actinomycetes; Pseudonocardiales; Pseudonocardiaceae
Also listed under: 1 other name
Description: bacterial SSU rRNA
Rfam family: Bacterial small subunit ribosomal RNA
Source: RNAcentral